This 439-nucleotide ribosomal RNA is filed under the name uncultured prokaryote. RNAcentral's name for it is "bacterial SSU rRNA". It matches the Rfam family "Bacterial small subunit ribosomal RNA", at positions 355 to 796 of the family's 1533-position model. The record is from RNAcentral.
UGAGGAAUAUUGGGCAAUGGGCGAAAGCCUGACCCAGCAACGCCGCGUGGAGGAUGAAUGCCGUAAGGUUGUAAACUCCUUUUAUAGGGGACGAAAAUCCUUUUUGAGGAAUUGACUGUACCCUUUGAAUAAGCCCCGGCUAACUACGUGCCAGCAGCCGCGGUAAUACGUAGGGGGCUAGCGUUGUCCGGAUUUACUGGGUGUAAAGGGCGCGUAGGCGGGCCCGUUAGUCAGAGGUGAAAUCCUGCGGCUUAACCGUAGAACUGCCUUUGAUACUGCGGGUCUUGAGUUCGGAAGAGAGAAGCGGAAUUCCAGGUGUAGUGGUGAAAUACGUAGAUAUCUGGAAGAACACCAGUAGCGAAGGCGGCUUCUUGGUCCGUAACUGACGCUGAGGCGCGAAAGCGUGGGGAGCAAACAGGAUUAGAUACCCCCGUAGUCC